CCAAUAGCGUAUAUUAAAGUUGUUGCAGUUAAAAAGCUCGUAGUUGAAUUUCGGGAUUGACGUGAUGGUCAUGCCUUAAGGGGUAUGAACUGUUACUGUUGAUUUCUCACCUUCUGGAGAAACUUGAUGUCCUUUAUUGGGUGUCUUGCGGAUCCAGGACCUUUACCUUGAAAAAAUUAGAGUGUUUAAAGCAGGCAUUUUUGCUCGAAUACAUUAGCAUGGAAUAAUAGAAUAGGACGGAAUGGUUCUAUUUUGUUGGUUUCUAGGAUCACCGUAAUGAUUAAUAGGGAUAGUUGGGGGCAUUAGUAUUCAAUUGUCAGAGGUGAAAUUCUUGGAUUUAUUGAAGACUAACUACUGCGAAAGCAUUUGCCAAGGAUGUUUUCAUUAAUCAAGAACGAAAGUUAGGGGAUCGAAGACGAUCAGAUACCGUCGUAGUCUUAACCAUAAACUAUGCCGACUAGGAAUCAGACGAUGUUAAUUUUUUAAUGACUCGUUUGGCACCUUACG
This 507-nucleotide ribosomal RNA is filed under the name uncultured Glomeromycotina. RNAcentral describes it as "partial small subunit ribosomal RNA". It matches the Rfam family "Eukaryotic small subunit ribosomal RNA", at positions 591 to 1092 of the family's 1831-position model. The record is from RNAcentral. Lineage: Eukaryota; Fungi; Glomeromycota.